AACUGUAAUAAUCUCAGAGCUCCAGGAUAUUUGCCGACAUCAUUAUAUCAUCACUCGGCCUCAUGAAUGGAGCUAGAAGAUGCUACAAGCACUGCCAGAAGUCGGUAGGAUCAGCCACCACCCUGAAUGAAUGCACUGGAAGCUACAGCAUCACAUCUAAUGAUGAAGAAGAAAAGUAGAAUAUGUUUCCUUUUUGCAAAUUUCCAUCAUCAGUCUUCUAUUUCUACUUGCUCCUGGCUGCCACAACUGUAAAACCAAUGCUCCUGUUCCAACUGUAAAACCAAUGUCUGGCUAUUCAGGAUUUGCCCACUGAGAUCUUCAGUUGCUGCUUGCUCAGGUGUCAGCAUCUCCAUCACAGGACAGAAUAGCUGUCCUCAGGUAUAUAGUAACCAAGUGACUAGCCAGGCUAACCAAGAGGAAAAGAGAGAGGACCCCACAAAAAAUGAAUCAAUAAAUAAUGAAAGAGGAGAAAUAAAAGCUAAUACCACAGAAAUACAAUAAAAAAUCCUAGAAGAAUACUAUGAACAGUUAUAUACCAACAAAUUGGAUGACCUAUAAGAAAUGGACAAGUUUCUGGAAACAUAAAGCCUGCCAAAAAGGAGUCAAGAAGAAACAUAAUUUGAACAGAACAAACACUAGAAGUGAAAUAGAAUCUGCAAUUUACAAAAUAUUCCCUCCAAA
Kogia breviceps (pygmy sperm whale) is the source of this 681-nucleotide non-coding RNA. The record is from RefSeq and is a predicted model, not a curated record. NCBI's taxonomy places the organism in Eukaryota, Metazoa, Chordata, Mammalia, Artiodactyla, Physeteridae.